AAGGUGUGGCCGUAUUAGC
Molecule: non-coding RNA, 19 nt
Filed under: Mus musculus (house mouse)
Lineage: Eukaryota; Metazoa; Chordata; Mammalia; Rodentia; Muridae
Source: RNAcentral